Molecule: non-coding RNA, 19 nt
Filed under: Rattus norvegicus (Norway rat)
Lineage: Eukaryota; Metazoa; Chordata; Mammalia; Rodentia; Muridae
Source: RNAcentral
UUGGACUUUUGUGCAUAGU